This 301-nucleotide ribosomal RNA is filed under the name uncultured bacterium. RNAcentral describes it as "partial 16S ribosomal RNA". It matches the Rfam family "Bacterial small subunit ribosomal RNA", at positions 509 to 807 of the family's 1533-position model. The record is from RNAcentral.
CAGUCGCCGCGGUAAUACGUAGGUGGCAAGCGUUGUCCGGAAUUAUUAGGCGUAAAGGGCUCGCAGGCGGUUUCUUAAGUCUGAUGUGAAAGCCCCCGGCUCAACCGGGGAGGGUCAUUGGAAACUGGGAAACUUGAGUGCAGAAGAGGAGAGUGGAAUUCCACGUGUAGCGGUGAAAUGCGUAGAGAUGUGGAGGAACACCAGUGGCGAAGGCGACUCUCUGGUCUGUAACUGACGCUGAGGAGCGGAAGCGUGGGGAGCGAACAGGAUUAGAUACCCGUGUAGUCCCUGUCUCUUAUAC